Molecule: unclassified non-coding RNA, 330 nt
Filed under: soil metagenome
Description: partial contains 5.8S ribosomal RNA, internal transcribed spacer 2, and large subunit ribosomal RNA
Rfam family: 5.8S ribosomal RNA (bases 1-120)
Source: RNAcentral
GAUGAAGAACGUAGCGAAAUGCGAUAAGUAAUGUGAAUUGCAGAAUUCAGUGAAUCAUCGAAUCUUUGAACGCACAUUGCGCCCCCUGGUAUUCCGGGGGGCAUGCCUGUUCGAGCGUCAUUUCACCACUCAAGCCUCGCUUGGUAUUGGGCAACGCGGUCCGCCGCGUGCCUCAAAUCGACCGGCUGGGUCUUCUGUCCCCUAAGCGUUGUGGAAACUUUCGCUAAAGGGUGUUCGGGAGGCUACGCCGUAAAACAACCCCAUUUCUAAGGUUGACCUCGGAUCAGGUAGGGAUACCCGCUGAAAUUAAGCAUAUCAAUAAGCGGAGGA